This 795-nucleotide ribosomal RNA is filed under the name Bacillus altitudinis. RNAcentral describes it as "bacterial SSU rRNA". It matches the Rfam family "Bacterial small subunit ribosomal RNA", at positions 45 to 822 of the family's 1533-position model. The record is from RNAcentral. Lineage: Bacteria; Bacillati; Bacillota; Bacilli; Caryophanales; Bacillaceae.
UGCUAUACAUGCAAGUCGAGCGGACAGAAGGGAGCUUGCUCCCGGAUGUUAGCGGCGGACGGGUGAGUAACACGUGGGUAACCUGCCUGUAAGACUGGGAUAACUCCGGGAAACCGGAGCUAAUACCGGAUAGUUCCUUGAACCGCAUGGUUCAAGGAUGAAAGACGGUUUCGGCUGUCACUUACAGAUGGACCCGCGGCGCAUUAGCUAGUUGGUGAGGUAACGGCUCACCAAGGCGACGAUGCGUAGCCGACCUGAGAGGGUGAUCGGCCACACUGGGACUGAGACACGGCCCAGACUCCUACGGGAGGCAGCAGUAGGGAAUCUUCCGCAAUGGACGAAAGUCUGACGGAGCAACGCCGCGUGAGUGAUGAAGGUUUUCGGAUCGUAAAGCUCUGUUGUUAGGGAAGAACAAGUGCAAGAGUAACUGCUUGCACCUUGACGGUACCUAACCAGAAAGCCACGGCUAACUACGUGCCAGCAGCCGCGGUAAUACGUAGGUGGCAAGCGUUGUCCGGAAUUAUUGGGCGUAAAGGGCUCGCAGGCGGUUUCUUAAGUCUGAUGUGAAAGCCCCCGGCUCAACCGGGGAGGGUCAUUGGAAACUGGGAAACUUGAGUGCAGAAGAGGAGAGUGGAAUUCCACGUGUAGCGGUGAAAUGCGUAGAGAUGUGGAGGAACACCAGUGGCGAAGGCGACUCUCUGGUCUGUAACUGACGCUGAGGAGCGAAAACGUGUGGAGCGAAUACCAUUCUACACCGUGGUUGUUCACCCCGUCUAAAACGAUGAGUGCUAAGUG